GUUAGUUUUAAUAUUCAGUUUUCACUGAUAUUUUUUUUCUUCCUUGUUUCUUGUCCUGAAUUAACAUAUUAAGUUUGUGUUAAUUAUAUCAUAUUAAGCUCUGGCUAUAGAGUUGCAGUGACAACUGAGAGAAAAUGAAGGGAAACUAGAGAAAAUGAAAGAAAGUGAAAAAAAAAAUCUAGAAGAUGGAAUUGGGAGAUUGAAUUUACUAGGUAUUCAAAAGAUGCUCAGGGUAUUUCAUGUAACAUUACGUAUUUAUCCAGCUGCUAGCGACACUUGCUCCAUUGAUUCAUAUCUGCCACGACACACAUUUCUUACCCUUUAUUUAUAAACAAGCUUGAGCUUUUAAGUAGGAGAAAACUUGUAUGAACUUAUGCUAUGUUUGGUAUGGCGUAAAGUAAUAUAAUGCAGUCAAAUUUUAUAUGCAUAAACGUUGAUUACAUUACAUUGUAUUAGGCUCUAUAGCCUUAAUCCACUUCUUGUAAUUGAAUGUUGAUUUCGAUCUCAUUAGGCACAGUCGCCGAUAACAUACG
Molecule: unclassified non-coding RNA, 533 nt
Filed under: Hevea brasiliensis (rubber tree)
Lineage: Eukaryota; Viridiplantae; Streptophyta; Magnoliopsida; Malpighiales; Euphorbiaceae
Source: RNAcentral